CUGGAUCCAAGGUACCCCGAGAGGCCCAUCCUCUGGGAGCGGAGAGCCCGGAACUAAGAACUGUAGACCCAGAGAGGUGAGACUGGCCCCAAGCACCUGGGUCCUCAAGAAGAGUCACCGUUUCCGUGCCAGGAGGAUCCAAGGUGGGGAAACUGAGGCUGAGAGAGAAGGACGUUGACCAAGGUCACAGGGCAGGAGCAGCAGAGACAGAGUCUCGCUAUGUUGCUCAGACUGGUCUCCAACUUCUGGCUCAAGCGAUCCUCCUGCCUUGACCUCGCUAAGUGCUGGGAUUACCGAAUGGGAGCCACCAUGCCCAGUCUUUACUCAAAAUUCACCUUCUCCCUGGGUCUUCUCUGGAGACCCUAGCUUUAAAAAUAAACAAGUAAAAGACAAACCUUGCCCUUCUCCUAGUGACACCGCAGACUCCUUCCUUGCCUGGGGCUGGGUUUUGCUCGCUGCUGCGUCCCUGGUUUUGGGGUACACAGAGGAUGCUCGUACUUAGUUGUGGGAUGGAUGAAGAGCUAGGGACUGCCUGCAGGAGCGGCCCUGGUAGGCAGGGCCAGG
This 564-nucleotide long non-coding RNA is filed under the name Homo sapiens (human). RNAcentral's name for it is "HSALNT0405633". Lineage: Eukaryota; Metazoa; Chordata; Mammalia; Primates; Hominidae. The record is from RNAcentral.